Molecule: ribosomal RNA, 205 nt
Filed under: uncultured Methanobacterium sp.
Lineage: Archaea; Methanobacteriati; Methanobacteriota; Methanobacteria; Methanobacteriales; Methanobacteriaceae
Description: partial 16S ribosomal RNA
Rfam family: Archaeal small subunit ribosomal RNA
Source: RNAcentral
UAAAUAACUGGUGAAGAAAGGGCCGGGCAAGACCGGUGCCAGCCGCCGCGGUAAUACCGGCGGCUCGAGUGGUGGCCACUAUUACUGGGCUUAAAGCGUUCGUAGCUGGUCUGUUAAGUCUCUGGGGAAAUCUUCCGGCUUAACCGGAAGGCGUCUCAGGGAUACUGGCAGACUAGGGACCGGAAGAGGUGAGAGGUACUCCAGG